CAAAGACAGACAGCACAGACUGGGGCUAAUAAACACAGGGAAAUCAGGGGAAGACAGGUGCAUGGAAUGACUAAUUAAUGGGGACACGGAACACAUGGGGAGGAAAAACACAGCAAAACCAAUCCAGGGGCGUGACAGUAGGCAUGGUUCAGCUUCCUCCACUGAAAAAACAAUGUAUGGAGAAAGACUCCACAGCCUCUUCAAGUUUUCAGCACACUAUGAAGAGGCUGUGCCCAUGGACCACUAGAGAUUCAGACAAUGGAGAUGUGGUUCAGCCUCCUCUACAUAAGAAACGAUGUGUGAGAAAAGCCCCAGAACCUCUGAAAGUUACACUUUGAAGGCCAGUAUCUAAAGAGCACACCUGUGAAGGAUGUGCAUGUCAGUGAUGUCAAGUCAAGUCAAGUUUAUUUG
Long non-coding RNA from Sinocyclocheilus rhinocerous, 411 nucleotides. RefSeq lists it as uncharacterized. The record is from RefSeq and is a predicted model, not a curated record. The transcript is spliced from 3 exons. NCBI's taxonomy places the organism in Eukaryota, Metazoa, Chordata, Actinopteri, Cypriniformes, Cyprinidae.